Molecule: ribosomal RNA, 490 nt
Filed under: uncultured bacterium
Lineage: Bacteria
Description: partial 16S ribosomal RNA
Rfam family: Bacterial small subunit ribosomal RNA
Source: RNAcentral
AUUGAACGCUGGCGGCAGGCCUAACACAUGCAAGUCGAACGGUAACAGGAAGAAGCUUGCUUCUUUGCUGACGAGUGGCGGACGGGUGAGUAAUGUCUGGGAAACUGCCUGAUGGAGGGGGAUAACUACUGGAAACGGUAGCUAAUACCGCAUAACGUCGCAAGACCAAAGAGGGGGACCUUCGGGCCUCUUGCCAUCGGAUGUGCCCAGAUGGGAGUAGCUAGUAGGUGGGGUAACGGCUCACCUAGGCGACGAUCCCUAGCUGGUCUGAGAGGAUGACCAGCCACACUGGAACUGAGACACGGUCCAGACUCCUACGGGAGGCAGCAGUGGGGAAUAUUGCACAAUGGGCGCAAGCCUGAUGCAGCCAUGCCGCGUGUAUGAAGAAGGCCUUCGGGUUGUAAAGUACUUUCAGCGGGGAGGAAGGGAGUAAAGUUAAUACCUUUGCUCAUUGACGUUACCCGCAGAAGAAGCACCGGCUAACUCCGUG